GACGAACGCUGGCGGCGUGCUUAAUACAUGCAAGUCGAACGGAAAGGCCCUGCGCUUGUGGGGUGCUCGAGUGGCGAACGGGUGAGUAACACGCGAGUAACCUGCCCUUGACUUUGGGAUAACUUCAGGAAACUGGGGCUAAUACCGGAUAGGAGCUCCUGCUGCAUGGUGGGGGUUGGAAAGUUUCGGCGGUAGGGGAUGGACUCGCGGCUUAUCAGCUUGUUGGUGAGGUAGUGGCUUACCAAGGCUUAGACGGGUAGCCGGCCUGAGAGGGUGACCGGCGUCAAUACUACUAAGAGAGGGAGCAGUAGGCUACCGGACGCAAUAGGCGAGAGUCUGACGGAGUGAGCGGGAGCGUGUUACAGCGGCCCCGCGUGCGGGAUGCUGUGCUUCGAGGUAUGAACAGAUGUCGCCGGAGACGUAGAGGGAGUGACGGUAAUGGAUAAGAAAGCACCGGCUAACUACGUG
This 468-nucleotide ribosomal RNA is filed under the name uncultured bacterium. RNAcentral describes it as "partial 16S ribosomal RNA". It matches the Rfam family "Bacterial small subunit ribosomal RNA", at positions 28 to 507 of the family's 1533-position model. The record is from RNAcentral.